CGUUUGGGUGUUGCAUUCAAUGUUUAUCUAUUAUGUUUGCACUUUUUAUUGUGGGAUGGACCUACCAGAUCACAUAAACACAAUUCUUAUAUGACAAAGUUAUCAAAAAUUAGACUUGAAUUGUCUAAAAAAUAAUUAAUCUGUACUACUGUAUGCCCAAAGUGAUUCUCAGAAGAUGAUAAAAAUUGACAUAAUGGCCUUGAUGAAUGAAUCGCAUAAAUUAUGUUAAUGUAGAUGACAAGUAAAACAUUGGUGCUCGCGCAACGUCUGUAAUUAGUGGACAAAUAUUCCAACAACGAUGUUUUAAUUGUGGUCCACUACAUUGUUGCUAAGUUUCCACACUAAAGAAACUUUUAAAGUACCCUUUUGCCGAAAUAUACGCCCUUGGCUGUGAAGAGAGAGGAUAUCCGGCCCACCGCCAUAUUUACUAACCGGAAGAUGUACUAUUUCACUACAUCGCUAGAUGUCGCUGUUCAUGUUGCUCUUGGAAGCCCCCGGAUGUACUAGAGGGCAUGUAUGGGGGUGAUAGUGAUUACGGAUUACGCAAAAUUUUCGCCACCGAUUACGAAUUAAGUAAAAUUCUCAGAGCUAUUAAAACUUUAUGCAUUAAGGCUAAUAUAAUAUUACGAAUUUCAUUGAUUUGGAGGGCGACUGCCAACGGAUUACGAAGACUAAAAUGGUCCGAUUACGCCUCAGGAAAAAGGGCAUGCAGGCUCCUACAACGAGCAUUCCAGCUCUCAGAUGUGUCUUUGGCAUUUGGAUACCACAAAGCAAUCAACCUAUGCCACCAUUCACUCAAUACCAGCCUGUGCCACCGUGCACUCAAUACCAGCCUGUGCCACCGUGCACUCAAUACUAAUGUGCCAUUGUGCAGAACUUGCAGAUUGUAUACUGGAUGAGUCCCUGUCUCACGAGUGAAUUAUUAAAACCAGAAACUGUAUCUUGCCCUGAAACCAAAUAUUCAAUAAACAAUCUGAACACAUA
Molecule: long non-coding RNA, 984 nt
Organism: Branchiostoma belcheri (Belcher's lancelet)
Lineage: Eukaryota; Metazoa; Chordata; Leptocardii; Amphioxiformes; Branchiostomatidae
Exons: 2
Source: RefSeq, a predicted model, not a curated record